CAAUUUUUUCUUCGUUCUUCUUCCCCAUCUCUUACUUAUUUUAUUCUCUUCCUCUCUUUCUUUAUCUCGUGGAGAUCGUGUCUUUCAAUAAGUUCUUACUCCUUGACUACCUAAUUACAAUUUUCAGAUUUAUAAUUGAUAUUGUGGGUUUGAAGAGAAUAUUGGCGGCGAGAGUAGAGCCGUCACGGGUAUGAUAGCGCUUUUUAAGAGUCAAAGAGAAAGAUGUCUAGCGGUCUUUGAUCUGUAACGAAGAUAGCAUAGUUACACCGGUGCCGUCCAAACUGAUCGAUGUCAGUGUUGCGGCCGUCGUCACAUUGUGUUUGUUGAAAACCCUAAUUUUGAUGGGUUUGUUUUUGUAAAUCGGCCCAACUUGUUAAUAAGACCCAUUUUUUAUUAGUUUGUAAAUGAAAAUGUGUUAAUUGAGCCCACAUUUUUGAGAA
Capsella rubella is the source of this 440-nucleotide long non-coding RNA. RefSeq lists it as uncharacterized. The transcript has 2 exons. NCBI's taxonomy places the organism in Eukaryota, Viridiplantae, Streptophyta, Magnoliopsida, Brassicales, Brassicaceae. The record is from RefSeq and is a predicted model, not a curated record.